GGUUGUGGCUCAGUGGUAAAGCACUUGCCUAGCAUGCAUGAGGCACUGGGUUCGAUCCCCAGCACCA
Molecule: transfer RNA, 67 nt
Filed under: Marmota marmota marmota (Alpine marmot)
Lineage: Eukaryota; Metazoa; Chordata; Mammalia; Rodentia; Sciuridae
Also listed under: 1 other name
Rfam family: tRNA
About the family: Transfer RNA (tRNA) molecules are approximately 80 nucleotides in length. Their secondary structure includes four short double-helical elements and three loops (D, anti-codon, and T loops). Further hydrogen bonds mediate the characteristic L-shaped molecular structure. tRNAs have two regions of fundamental functional importance: the anti-codon, which is responsible for specific mRNA codon recognition, and the 3' end, to which the tRNAs corresponding amino acid is attached (by aminoacyl-tRNA synthetases). tRNAs cope with the degeneracy of the genetic code in two manners: having more than one tRNA (with a specific anti-codon) for a particular amino acid; and 'wobble' base-pairing, i.e. permitting non-standard base-pairing at the 3rd anti-codon position.
Source: Rfam by way of RNAcentral